Molecule: ribosomal RNA, 444 nt
Filed under: Rissoides barnardi
Lineage: Eukaryota; Metazoa; Arthropoda; Malacostraca; Stomatopoda; Squillidae
Description: partial 16S ribosomal RNA
Rfam family: Bacterial large subunit ribosomal RNA
Source: RNAcentral
UUAAAGGGCCGCGGUAUUCUGACCGUGCGAAGGUAGCAUAAUAAUUAGUCUCCUAAUUAGAGGCUUGUAUGAAUGGUUGGACAAGAUGGAAACUGUCUCAUUACAAUAAAUAAAAUUUAAUAUUUAAGUAAAAAAGCUUAAAUAAUAUGGAGGGACGAUAAGACCCUAUAAAGCUUUAUAAUAUACUCUUUUAGUAUAAAUUGUGAUGUUAUUAACUUACUUUAAAAAGUAUAUUAUUUUACUGGGGCGGUAAAAGUAUAUUAAAGAAUAACUGCUUUUGUUUUUUAAAUCAAUUAUAAUUGAAAAUAAAUUGAUCCAUUAUUAAUGAUCACAAAACCAAGUUACUUUAGGGAUAACAGCGUAAUUUUUUUUGAGAGUUCUUAUCGAAAAAAAAGUUUGCGACCUCGAUGUUGAAUUAAGGUUACCUUAAGGUGCAGUAGUUUU